GACGAACGCUGGCGGCGUGCUUAACACAUGCAAGUCGAACGGAAAGGCCCUGCUUUUGUGGGGUGCUCGAGUGGCGAACGGGUGAGUAACACGUGAGUAACCUGCCCUUGACUUUGGGAUAACUUCAGGAAACUGGGGCUAAUACCGGAUAGGAGCUCCUGCUGCAUGGUGGGGGUUGGAAAGUUUCGGCGGUUGGGGAUGGACUCGCGGCUUAUCAGCUUGUUGGUGGGGUAGUGGCUUACCAAGGCUGUGACGGGUAGCCGGCCUGAGAGGGUGACCGGCCACAUUGGGACUGAGAUACGGCCCAGACUCCUACGGGAGGCAGCAGUGGGGAAUAUUGCACAAUGGGCGGAAGCCUGAUGCAGCAACGCCGCGUGCGGGAUGACGGCCUUCGGGUUGUAAACCGCUUUCGCUUGUGACGAAGCGUGAGUGACGGUAAUGGGUAAAGAAGCUCCGGCUAACUACGUG
RNAcentral lists this ribosomal RNA (468 nucleotides) under uncultured bacterium. Its description in RNAcentral is "partial 16S ribosomal RNA". It matches the Rfam family "Bacterial small subunit ribosomal RNA", at positions 28 to 507 of the family's 1533-position model. The record is from RNAcentral.